RNAcentral lists this ribosomal RNA (538 nucleotides) under uncultured bacterium. Its description in RNAcentral is "bacterial SSU rRNA". It matches the Rfam family "Bacterial small subunit ribosomal RNA", at positions 102 to 674 of the family's 1533-position model. The record is from RNAcentral.
ACGGGUGAGUAACGCGUGGGAACGUGCCCUUCGGUUCGGAAUAACUCAGGGAAACUUGAGCUAAUACCGGAUACGCCCUUUUGGGGAAAGGCUUGACUGCCGAAGGAUCGGCCCGCGUCCGAUUAGCUAGUUGGUGAGGUUAUGGCUCACCAAGGCGACGAUCAGUAGCUGGUCUGAGAGGAUGAUCAGCCACACUGGGACUGAGACACGGCCCAGACUCCUACGGGAGGCAGCAGUGGGGAAUAUUGGACAAUGGGGGCAACCCUGAUCCAGCCAUGCCGCGUGAGUGAUGACGGCCUUAGGGUUGUAAAGCUCUUUUCUCCGGGACGAUAAUGACGGUACCGGAGGAAUAAGCCCCGGCUAACUUCGUGCCAGCAGCCGCGGUAAUACGAAGGGGGCUAGCGUUGCUCGGAAUCACUGGGCGUAAAGGGCGCGUAGGCGGCUGAUUUAGUCGAGGGUGAAAGCCCGUGGCUCAACCACGGAAUGGCCUUCGAUACUGAUUGGCUUGAGACCGGAAGAGGACAGCGGAACUGCGAGU